UACGGAGGGAGCUAGCGUUGUUCGGAAUUACUGGGCGUAAAGCGCACGUAGGCGGCUUUGUAAGUUAGAGGUGAAAGCCCGGGGCUCAACCCCGGAAUUGCCUUUAAGACUGCAUCGCUUGAAUCCAGGAGAGGUGAGUGGAAUUCCGAGUGUAGAGGUGAAAUUCGUAGAUAUUCGGAAGAACACCAGUGGCGAAGGCGGCUCACUGGAGCUGGUAUCGACGCUGAGGUGCGAAAGCGUGGGGAGCAAACAGGGAUUAAGAAACCCC
RNAcentral lists this ribosomal RNA (268 nucleotides) under uncultured bacterium. RNAcentral describes it as "partial 16S ribosomal RNA". It matches the Rfam family "Bacterial small subunit ribosomal RNA", at positions 524 to 788 of the family's 1533-position model. The record is from RNAcentral.